Molecule: unclassified non-coding RNA, 336 nt
Filed under: soil metagenome
Description: partial contains 5.8S ribosomal RNA, internal transcribed spacer 2, and large subunit ribosomal RNA
Rfam family: 5.8S ribosomal RNA (bases 1-120)
Source: RNAcentral
GAUGAAGAACUCAGCGAAAUGCGAUAAGUAAUGUGAAUUGCAGAAUUCAGUGAAUCAUCAAAUCUUUGAACGCACAUUGCGCCCGCCAGUAUUCUGGCGGGCAUGCCUGUUCGAGCGUCAUUUCAACCAUCAAGCCCCCGGCUUGUGUUGGGGUCCUGCGGCUGCCGCAGGCCCUGAAAAGCAGUGGCGGGCUCGCUGUCACACCGAGCGUAGUAGCAUACAUCUCGCUCUGGGCGUGCUGCGGGUUCCGGCCGUUAAACCACCUUCAUAACCCAAGGUUGACCUCGGAUCAGGUAGGAAGACCCGCUGAACUUAAGCAUAUCAAUAAGCGGAGGA